RNAcentral lists this ribosomal RNA (195 nucleotides) under Escherichia coli. Its description in RNAcentral is "partial 16S ribosomal RNA". It matches the Rfam family "Bacterial small subunit ribosomal RNA", at positions 42 to 236 of the family's 1533-position model. The record is from RNAcentral. Lineage: Bacteria; Pseudomonadati; Pseudomonadota; Gammaproteobacteria; Enterobacterales; Enterobacteriaceae.
GCGGGCCUACACAUGCAGUCGACGGUAACAGGAAACAGCUUGCUGUUUCGCUGACGAGUGGCGGACGGGUGAGUAAUGUCUGGGAAACUGCCUGAUGGAGGGGGAUAACUACUGGAAACGGUAGCUAAUACCGCAUAACGUCGCAAGACCAAAGAGGGGGACCUUCGGGCCUCUUGCCAUCGGAUGUGCCCAGAU